Molecule: long non-coding RNA, 3544 nt
Filed under: Androctonus crassicauda
Lineage: Eukaryota; Metazoa; Arthropoda; Arachnida; Scorpiones; Buthidae
Source: RNAcentral
AAUAUUUUCAAGGGAUGGGACCCGAGACUCGAACCCGGGUCCUCCAGAGUGGAAAGGCGAAGCGUUUCCACGCUGCCAAUCCGGCCGACAUCUGGGACGUUUUAUCAACCGUCUAGUUGGUCGGCCGGAUGACCGCCAGUCCGGAUGAUCCGCAUCGAAUGGCCACCCUAUAGAAACCCGAUUCGAUUCUCUGGUGCCACACCUCCAGAUUUUCCCCGAGGGGUAGGAGUCCGGCCCCUCGAACCCGGUUCUACAUCCGACGGCCGACCCCACCACAAGUGUGGCCGGACGGUAGCGGUAACCGGAAUACCCACCAGCCUAGUACGCCCGGUAGAAAACCAGACAAAAAUUGAGCUAAAAAAGGAAGUAGAUCGGCACAGCCGCGGCCGGUCUCCUAUAACGGACGGCUGUGGGCUGGAUUUAUCCAGCGCUCUUUUUUAUGGCGGCUUUCAGUGGCCAAGAACGGGGUGUCCGCACCACCGUCCCGGAGAAUAUAGAAACCGUAGAGUAACAGCCGGAGGAAAGUUCGGAUGGGGUAAAAGUGGUUAGGGAAUUAAUUUCGUAGGCGAAAUCUAGGGCCGAAAGCGAGGCCAUAGAUUUGGGACCGCGGAACGGAGAACGGGACAGGCCGGAGCCGUUCCGUUACCGGGGGAAAACGAAAGGCGGUACAGAUCCGGGAUUUACCGACGGAAUAUAGUAAUGGCUUUUCGCGCGUGAGAAAACGUUUUGUCGACUCCGACAGAAUUGGUUUUAAGGCUGGAAUUCGGAAGCCGGAAGAAGUUUUCCCGCAGGCUAUCGAAAGAAAAAUCGAAGAGAAAACGACGGUGAGGUGCCCUCGAAUAACGCGCGAAAAAGAGUAUUAUCCGACCACCACCAUCCAUGGAUUUGUCCCGGUAAAAGUAGCCAGGGCCCAAAACUACCGGUACCGGUUGGGUUAAGUAAAGAAAAUAUAGUUUAGCCUCGGACUUUUGGCAGGAAUAAUUCCGAGACUCCACGUAUAUUUGUUAUUCGCCUACUUCUUGUGGUCGGCCUUUUCCAAUCGACCAUCCAUCAGUUGUAGCGGUCGGCAAAGAAAAAUCUUCCGUCGAUGGAGAAAGUAGAGCACACUCUAAACGAUGGGGAUGCACCGGCCCUAACCGGCAGUGGUAACAUUUAUUAUACAGUUUAAUCCGAGACAUCGGACCAAGUAGCUACUUACGAAAAAAGCCAGAGUACCGAUAAGGAAUUUCCGGCCUAACCAGGACUAGCUGGUAAAACAUACGUGGUUAUUACAAAAUUUGUAGCCGGUGGUAUCGCUUACAACCAUUUUGGUUGGUGCUUCCACUCGGAAACGGUUACGGAAUAACUGUUAGAUUGUGGCUGUGCCCAUAAAAUAUAUUUCUUAAGACCUGUUCUUUCGGAAAUUUUAGAAAAGAAGCCGAGACCUAGAUGGUUCCAUUCGGACACCGAUUAUCCCGCUCCGAAUUCAUCCGCUUUCUCUCACCGCCAGUGUAGGACCGGAAUGUUAACCGUCGGAAUCCGGUACUCCCUCUAACGGCCGACCGCGGGAAAAUUCUAAAUCCCGGACCAGCGCCUAGGGGUUACCCUGUUCCGGGACGGCUAGCCGAAAGUCCGGCAUCCGUCUCUUUCCCGCUGGCUGAUGGGGCCGGACCGAUGCUGGCCGCUCUACUCCCGGCCUAAGUUAGGCUACUGGGGUGGAGAAAAAAUGCCGGAAGGGUUCCGGUAGCCAGUAACAGGAGGCGCGGCCGAAACGGAGCGGGUCCGGAAGAAUCUACUAGUCAAUGUUUGUGUCCGAUAGACACCGGGCUUCCAUCGGAAAGUGAAGAGUAGGGAAGGGCCGGUCCCACCCGCUUCCUUUUUUUACUUCCAGCCCGCAACUACCGUUUAAAUAAGACCGGCCUCAUCGGAAACAGGAAAAUUCGUCGGACGGACGGAGGAAAGAAGAGGCCGAUUCCGCCCGCUAGGUCGAUAAGGGAGGGAACGGUCGGCCGCCACCCCCCACCAAACUCGGCCAUUGCCGCUACCAAAAUAUGUGGGUGGUAGUCACCGCCCAGCUAGUCGGUAAUAAUCCGGAAGGCCGGGGCUGACUGAAAAGGACGGCCCCGGCCGCCUGCCCUUCCGAGGGCGGCCGGUGAACCACCCACCGCGGAGCCUGGGCUACCUUCUCUCGGCCCACCAACGGGGGCUUAUUGCUGGAAAGAAAGAAUAGAAGCGGAUGGACCGGGAAGGGACACCCCCAGCCGAGUGCCCGGCUGGUUAAUCCGAAGAAAGCGCCCGUUCCUUCGGCCUCCGCCGGUACCUCCAGAUAUGGUUGGGUGGACCACCACCCUUACCACUGCCUAUGUUAACCGAAGUCGGAUGAAAGGGAACUUUCUCGGACCUAGAAACAAUAAAUGGUUAAAGUAGAAGCGACGGGUUUCGACGCCUUCCUCCGGGCUGCCGGUGUGGGUUCGACUUCCGUCGACGGUGACAGCCGGAAACUGGUACGGGCCGAAUGGCGGGAAUAGUGUCGGCGUAGUUUACUUUACUCCAAGCAAAUUAGGCUCGGACGUCCGGUGACCGGGUAAAAUGGCGGUAGAGCCGGAGGGUGGCCGAUGGUCGAAGGCCGUUUCAUCGCGGCCGGGCUACCGGAUCUGUAUUCGAGCGAUUUACUUUAGAGAAAGAGAUACGGAGCGAGGGAGAUGUCGAUAUUCCGGAAGGGUGGCUUUCGACGUCUGGCAUUUGGCUUCGACUUUCGACUGGUUGGGGCCGCGCGUCGGUCGGAAGAAGUGGAAAGGUCAGCGGGCCUAAUUUAUCGGAUAAAGAGGAGAAAAGCCAAAGAAGGCAACCUGAAGAAGAAAAAUGAAAUUAUUUUUAAACAUCUAGUUAUCCUUCUAAUACUUUUCGACCGAUUGUUACUAUGGCUGUAUUACGCGCCUAAGUAGUAAUCGGUGUCGUUAUUUAUUUUAAAACUUUUUACUGGUAAUAAAUUUGUCUAUUUUGAUUAGACGUAAGUUUUCUCUAUAGUGUGAAUUGGAAAGAACUUUUAUAAAAACUGUAAUUUUACUUUUUUUAGGACAGCGUUGUCGGAAUCGAUAAACUAACUUCUGGUUUAUCAUUAAAGACACGUUUAUUUCUACCUUUCCCCACCGAUUAACAAAAUACACUUAUUCAUAUUUUUAUGGUCGAACCAUCGUACCGCGCCACAUUUGCACCAGCGUCUUUUUCUAGCGCAACGGCUUUCAUUUCUCGGGUUUUUCCCAAAACCCGAGCUAUCAUUUCUAGAUGGACAGCUUUCCUGUCUGGGACAUCCUGGGGUUCUUUCAUCCCGGGGCUACCGACAGCGACGCUCUUCUUUAUUUCACCUGGAAAAUAUCUGGCAUUAAUUGAACUUAGAAGUAAUAGUAAUAUUUCCAAAUUAAAUACGGUAUAUUACUUUUAGGACGGGUAUUUCAGCCGAGUAAGGUCGCUCUGGUUUAUAUUUAUUACAGCGGUUCGGUUUAAAAGAAAUGAAAAUAUUCUCGGAAAAAUAAUAAUAAUAAUAAUAAUAUGGGUAAAGCCGAUA